Transfer RNA from Geoglobus ahangari, 83 nucleotides. It matches the Rfam family "tRNA". From Rfam's summary of the family: Transfer RNA (tRNA) molecules are approximately 80 nucleotides in length. Their secondary structure includes four short double-helical elements and three loops (D, anti-codon, and T loops). The record is from Rfam. NCBI's taxonomy places the organism in Archaea, Methanobacteriati, Methanobacteriota, Archaeoglobi, Archaeoglobales, Archaeoglobaceae.
GCGGGGGUUGCCGAGCGGUCAAAGGCGCGGGAUUUAGGGUCCCGUGGCGCAGGCCUUCGUGGGUUCGAAUCCCACCCCCCGCA